Molecule: transfer RNA, 74 nt
Filed under: Propionivibrio sp.
Lineage: Bacteria; Pseudomonadati; Pseudomonadota; Betaproteobacteria; Rhodocyclales; Rhodocyclaceae
Description: tRNA-His
Rfam family: tRNA
About the family: Transfer RNA (tRNA) molecules are approximately 80 nucleotides in length. Their secondary structure includes four short double-helical elements and three loops (D, anti-codon, and T loops).
Source: RNAcentral
GCGGUGUUAGCUCAGUUGGUAGAGCUUGGAUUGUGAUUCCAAGGGUCACCGGUUCAGCCCGGUACAUCGCCCCA